This 492-nucleotide ribosomal RNA is filed under the name uncultured bacterium. RNAcentral's name for it is "partial 16S ribosomal RNA". It matches the Rfam family "Bacterial small subunit ribosomal RNA", at positions 29 to 507 of the family's 1533-position model. The record is from RNAcentral.
AUUGAACGCUGGCGGCAUGCUUUACACAUGCAAGUCGAACGGUAACAGGCCUUCGGGUGCUGACGAGUGGCGAACGGGUGAGUAAUGCAUCGGAACGUACCCAGAGGUGGGGGAUAACGCAGCGAAAGCUGUGCUAAUACCGCAUGUGAUCUGAGGAUGAAAGCGGGGGACCGAGCAGCAAUGUUUGGCCUCGCGCCGUUGGAGCGGCCGCUGUGGGAUUAGCUAGUUGGUGGGGUAAAUGCCUACCAAGGCGACGAUCCGUAGCUGGUCUGAGAGGACGACCAGCCACACUAGGACUGAGCCACGGCCCAGACUCCUACGGGAGGCAGCAGUGGGGAAUUUUGGACAAUGGGCGCAAGCCUGAUCCAGCAAUGCCGCGUGCGGGAAGACGGCCUUCGGGUUGUAAACCGCUUUUGGCAGGAACGAAACGGUGUCCGCUAAUACCGGGCGCUAAUGACGGUACCUGCAGAAUAAGCACCGGCUAACUACGUG